RNAcentral lists this ribosomal RNA (253 nucleotides) under uncultured bacterium. Its description in RNAcentral is "partial 16S ribosomal RNA". It matches the Rfam family "Bacterial small subunit ribosomal RNA", at positions 524 to 776 of the family's 1533-position model. The record is from RNAcentral.
UACGUAGGGGGCAAGCGUUGUCCGGAUUUAUUGGGCGUAAAGAGCGUGUAGGCGGCCAGGUAGGUCCGCUGUGAAAACUCGAGGCUCAACCUCGAGAUGUCGGCGGAAACCAUCUGGCUAGAGUCCGGAAGAGGAGAGUGGAAUUCCUGGUGUAGCGGUGAAAUGCGCAGAUAUCAGGAGGAACACCAGCGGCGAAGGCGGCGACCUGGAUGAGUACUGACACUCAACUGCGAAAGCGUGGGGAGCAAACAGG